UUUGGACCCCAAAAUCUGCGAUCUGAUCCCAAAAUCUCAAGCAAAGAUCGAAGGGCUCCAAAAAUCUUCGUUAUGGACCCAAAAAUCUCCAUUACGGACCCAAAAUCUUAUCACGGUCCCAAAAUGUCCAGGAUGGACCCCAAAACAGCAGCAGGACCGCGGGGGCUCUGGGACGGACCCAAAAAUCUCCGUUUUGGACCCAAGACUCCUCGGCAAUCCCAGGGGAUCCGCCACGGACCCAAAAUCUCCAGAACUGAGCCCAAAUCUCCGGCAUGGACCAAGAAAUGGGGGAGCCUGGCCAGCCCCACGGCGCCCUCCGUCUUCCCCGUCACCUCCUGCUGCGGGUCCACCCAUGAGAAGCCCGUCCUGGGCUGCUUGGCCACCGGCUUCAUCCCCGGCCCCGUCACCUUCUCCUGGGCCGGGGCCGGCGCCGCCCUCACCGUCCCCGAGACCGUCGGCACCGGGGUCCACCAGCGCACCGCCUUCCUGCGCCCGUCCCGCGCCUCCCAGGGGGACACCUUCACCUGCAGAGUCAACCACCCGGCCACCGGCGUCACCCUGACCAGGGAGGUGGAAGGUUGCAUCGCCCCACCGAUCCGAAGCCCCCCCGAGGUCCAGGUCCUCCACAGCUCCGUCUGCAGCGCCGCGGGCGAAGACUCCCUGGAGUUCCUCUGCAUCAUCUCCGGCUUCUCUCCGGCCACCGUGGAGGUCGAGUGGCUGGUGGACGGCGUGUCGGGCCUGCUGGUGGGGACGGUGACGCCGCCACGGCGCGACGUCGGGGCCGCCACCUACACGGCCACCAGCCACACCAACGUGUCGCGAGAAGACUGGAAGGAGGGCAAGACCAUCACCUGCCAGGUCAAGCACCCCGCAACCGGCGUCAAGGUGCAGGAGCACAGCCGCUUCUGCCCAGAAUUCUGACCACCUUUGUUGUCCUCCUGACCCCCCUGCUGGCCACGACCAUCGACCGCGAGGUCCUCCAAACGUUCCUCGAGAACCCCCUCCAAAACCUGGUGGGGGUGGACACCCCAGCAGGUCCUUCCCCCCCCUUCCUUGGACCUCGGGACAUCGUUGGCCACCUUCCUGUCGCCCUGGGACCUCUCCGGAACCCGAGGACCGGUGGGGA
Non-coding RNA from Cygnus olor (mute swan), 1126 nucleotides. The record is from the annotation of a RefSeq genome assembly. NCBI's taxonomy places the organism in Eukaryota, Metazoa, Chordata, Aves, Anseriformes, Anatidae.